RNAcentral lists this ribosomal RNA (496 nucleotides) under uncultured bacterium. Its description in RNAcentral is "partial 16S ribosomal RNA". It matches the Rfam family "Bacterial small subunit ribosomal RNA", at positions 30 to 507 of the family's 1533-position model. The record is from RNAcentral.
AUGAACGCUGGCGGCGUGCCUAAUACAUGCAAGUCGAGCGAACAGACGAGGAGCUUGCUCCUCUGACGUUAGCGGCGGACGGGUGAGUAACACGUGGAUAACCUACCUAUAAGACUGGGAUAACUUCGGGAAACCGGAGCUAAUACCGGAUAAUAUAUUGAACCGCAUGGUUCAAUAGUGAAAGACGGUUUUGCUGUCACUUAUAGAUGGAUCCGCGCCGCAUUAGCUAGUUGGUAAGGUAACGGCUUACCAAGGCAACGAUGCGUAGCCGACCUGAGAGGGUAGUGGGACAAACGGGAAUGGAAACAGGGCCAAGACCCAAAGGGAGGGAGAAAGAGGGAAUUUUUCAGAAAGGGGGGAAAGCGAGAAGAGGAACCGCAGGGUGAGUAAAGAGGGUCUUAGAAUCGAAAAACUCUGUUAGAGGGAAAAAAAAAAGGUGAAAGAAACUAUGCACGUCGUGAGGUAACCAAAUAAAAAGGCCAGGACAAACUACGUG